Pongo pygmaeus (Bornean orangutan) is the source of this 195-nucleotide small nuclear RNA. RefSeq annotates it as U2 spliceosomal RNA. NCBI's taxonomy places the organism in Eukaryota, Metazoa, Chordata, Mammalia, Primates, Hominidae. The transcript has a single exon. The record is from RefSeq and is a predicted model, not a curated record.
AUCGCUUUCUAGCAUUUUGGCGAAGAUGUAAGUGUAAUACAUUGUCCUUAUCCGUUUAACAUCGGAGAUGUUCUGUAUGUGGCAACUGUGUAUUUGAAUGUGUUUUUGGAAUUGGGAGAAAGAGUAGGAGUUUUCUCUAUCUAUUCCCCAUAUCGACUUGGCAUUGUUAGUACUUCUGAGAACCGUGCAUCUCUU